UUAUAGUAAGAAGUACUACUUAGUGAACCUUUCAAUUAAUCGAUCUCCUAUAAAGUCUUCUUUGAGCCUUGUGAACCAACAUAUAUUUAUUGUCUAGAAAAGAAAGAUGGCUAAUUCCAAUGUAGGUAUGAAGAACAAGAUUCGAGGUCUAUUUGAAUCCCUCAUUUCAUGUGGAAAACCUGUUAAAGGUAUGAUUUGAGAACUAUAUUAUAUCUUGAAUAGAAAAUUUUCAUUCCCUUUCAUAAUUUUCAUUAAUUUUUGAAAAUUCAUGUUAUUCAGAAAGGUUUACUUAUGACAAUGUAAAUAAUGUUUACUAUUCAUACAAUUUAAUCUAUCAUAACAGGUUAUUUAUUUUAUUUUCAUAUUCCCUCUAUAUAUCUCAAAUGUCGUGAUUUCUAAAAAUAGUUAUCUCAAUUUUUUGGUCAUUUUAGAAGUUUAAGAUAAAAUAAAUUAUAUUUUUCUUAUUAAUCCCUUAAUAGUAAUUGUUGUUGAAAAAUGAGAUAACACGUAAAUAGAAUAAAUAUUUAACGAAGAGAAAUAAUAUCUUAAGACAUAAAUAAUGGUAAAAUAGUCUAAAUUUUCUCCUAAUUAUUUUUUUUAAGGGGCGUGUAAAAGAAAAACACGACGGAUUAGUUGAGACGGACAAAGUAGCUUAUAUGAUCUUAUCUAUAGGCCAACUUCAUUUGAUGGCGUAAAAUAAAUACAAUCAUUUUUAGUAACGCAAAAAUUCAUUAUGAAUAUUAUUGGGAAAUAAGUUUGGUACUACAGAAAAAAACAGGAACUAGUAUCGGACGAAUCCCAUUACUAAAUAGCAUAUUUUCGUCAUUAAACUCAUCUCAGCUACGAAUGAUUUAGCGAUAGUGAUGAAUUUUAUAGCUAAUUCUGAUUUUAUAUGUCUUCAUCAACUUUGUUAUAACCAGGAAAUGGCCCAGGACAAGAGCUACCAAUGGCAGAAGCAGAAAAUAUACAAGGGAAAGUAGUAAUAGGGGAAGCAGAAGAAAAUGCAAAAGGGCCAGAGUUAGCAGAAAAAGAUAAAGAUGAAGCAGAAAAUGAAAACAGGCCACCACCAGUGGCAGAACCUUCAGUUCAACCAACACCUUCAGUCAAACCAAUGGAUCCUAUUCCUAAGACUGGUUGAACUCAUGAUACAAUACUUGGAAAUUAUAUUCCAAUAUUGUUGUUAAUUUGAUUAAACUUUUAAGGUGGUGUUUAAUUGGUUGGCAAAUUUUAUUAUUGCAAAAACUUUGUAUUUGGUCAUCCUUCCCCUUUCUUAUUUUAGUUGCGGUUUAUCAAUCUAAUGAUGUGUACGAAAUUGAAAAAGAAAUCUAAUUGGAAAAUUUUCCGUUUUGUCUUAUUUAAUGCUUUGUACAUGUAUAUGUACAAAUUAGCAUAUGCAAUAACAGAAAUAUUUAUUCCUUCCAACUAACCUACUAACUUUGUUCCCUUAUAUUAUAUUCCUCUCAUCUAACCCACUAACUAGGUUCUCUUAUAUUCUAUUCACCUAACUCACUAACUAUAUAAUUUAUCAUAUCAUAAAUAUAUCCAAAGGACUCUUAACUUUUCUGUGGGCAGAAUACACAACUACUUCUAGGUCUUCUUCUUAUUCACCAUUCUUCUCUAUCCAUGAGUCUUAGAAUUAGGAUACGGUUUCUUUUUUCCAAUACCCCCCUCAAGUUAGAGGGUAACUUUGUGACCCCUAACUUGCUCAAAAUCUCGGAGUGAGAAACCCCACAAAGUGUCUUUGUGAAGAGAUCCGCCAGUUGGUCUUUGGAUGGAACAAAAGAAAGGGUAAUUAAACCGGAAAGGAACUGUUGAGGCACAAAAUGAUAGUUAAUCUCAACAUAUUUUGUGUGUUCGUAGAAAACGGGAUUACGGGCGAUGUGAAUGGUUGCCUUGCUGUUAGAAUGAAGAGGUAUGGGAAGACUUACUAGUGCUGGGAGAUGUUCAAGGAGUCGAACUAACCAUGUAAGUUCAGCAGUUACUCUUCUCAUAGAUCUAUAUUCUGCCUCUGCAGAAGAUAGAGAGAUUGACACUUGUUUCUUUGACUUCCAGGAAAUGGGUGCUCCUCCUAGUGUGAUGAAGAAUCCACUGACAGACCUCCUAGAAUCCUUGCAAGAGGCCCAAUCAGCAUCGUAAAAUGCAAGUAAGGAGAAUGAGUGUUCUGCUGAGAGAAGAAUUCCUUGACCAUGAUCAGAGCUCAAAUAUUUGAGCACUCGUAAGGCAGCAGAGAAAUGAGACUUACAGGGUCUCUGCAUGUAUUGACUGAGGGUAAGGACCGCAAAAGAAAGGUCCAGGCGAGUGUUAGUGAGAUAGUUCAACUUUCCAACCAGAUGACGAAAUACUGUUGGAUAUUGCAAAGGAUGCCCAUCAUCAGCUUGAAGCUUUGAGGAAGGAUCAAGAGGAGAACUGACUCAAGGCAAAUGGGAGACAUCAAAUUCCUGCAGCAUAUCCAAGAUAAAUCUCCUUUGGCUUACAAUAAAACCUUCAUUUUCUCGUAGAAUUUCCAUCCCUGAAAAAUAAUGUAUGUCUCCUAGAUUUUUUACCUUGUACUCACUAUUUAGAAAACCCUUAAUAUGCUGAAUUUCUUCUAAGUCAUCUCCAGUAAGCAGCAUGUCAUCUACAUAGACAGCUAGGAUAGAAAUUAUGUUUCCUCUGUAUUUAAAGAAUAGUGAGUAAUCGUUUAACGAUGAAGAAUACCCCUUAAAACUCAAAGCUCAUGUAAGCCUAGCAUACCAUUGCUUGGAAGCUUGCUUUAAACCAUAUAAUGACUUCCUUAGUAAACAAAUAUACUUAGGACUAGGAGGUAUUAAACCUGACCUCAUAUACACUUCCUCUUGUAGAUUACCAUGAAAAAAUGCAUUAUUGAUAUCCAAUUGACACACAUUCUAGUCUCUUUUGGCUGCAAUGGUGAGUAAACACUUUAUGGUUGUCAUUUUCAUCAUUGGUGAAAAAGUCUCAAUAUAAUCUAUUCCUUCUCUUUGGAUAUCUCCCCUGACCACCAGCCUUUCCUUCAACCUUCAAUCCUUCCACCUGACAAAUGAUUUACUUUGUACACUUAUUUGCAAGGUAGAGCUCUUUUCCCUUUAGGUAAUUCAACCACAUCCCAUGUGUGGUUAUCUUCUAGAGCUUUAAUCUCUGAAUUCAUAGCUUCUAUCCAACAUGGACGUUAACAAACUUGUCCAAAAUUGUUAGGUUCUAUGAUAGUAGAGAGGGAUUGCAGCACAUGUUGAUUGUUGGAUGACAGAGAAAAGAAACAAAAUUUUCUAGGCUUACUUGGUUGAGUGAAACAAGUUGCUGCUAUAUUUGUGAACAUAAUGUUACUACAUACAUAAUCUUUCAAGUAGGCUGGUUGAUUGGAAACUCUUCCUGACUUUCUCAGUAGUAUAAAAACAGGUGAGUUAGUGUGUGGUGUAUCUAGGAUAGAUUGAAAAUGAAUCGGGCUAGUAGACAAUUGGUGAUGAGGAGGAGUGUAUGAAGAACUUGGUGUUGGUGAGGAGAAAAUAUCAGAAACUUCAGGUUCUAAAGAGAUGGGUGAGGAUUGAUCCUGUGAUGAAGGUGAAUAAGUAGGUUCUGUAGUAAAUGUUGAGCUUGGGAAUAUAGGGUGUUGUGAUGUGCUAGUUUCAACAAAAGGGAAGUGUGAUUCAUGGAAUUUCACAUCCCUUGACACAAAUAUUCUUCCUGUGGACAAUUCUAAUAGCUUAUAUGCCUUCUGAUGAAGGGGAUAACUAAGCAAAAUAUAAGUUGUUGCCCUGUCAUCAAACUUGUCUCUUCCCUGGGCUACUGUAGAAGCAUAACAGAGGCAUCCAAAAUUUCUUAAAUGAUCAUACUUGAGCUUCUCUUGAAAUAAAAUCUCAUAUGGUGUCUUUUCUUUAAGAACACUAGAAGGCAUCCUAUUAAUAAGAUAUGUGGAAGUUAGGAUAGAUUCACCCCAAUAUGACAUAGGUAGCUUGGAUUGAAACAUUAACCCUCUUGCAAUCUCUAAGAGGUGUCUAUGCUUCCUCUCAACAAUUCCAUUAUGUUGAGGAGUUGCUACACAAGACAGUUGGUGCAGAAUUCCUUCUGAAGCUAGGAAAGCUACCUCUUGUGUACCUUUUCCCAAUUCUAAUGCAUUAUCUGAUCUUAUCAUUUAGACUUUCACAUUGAAUUGCCUGUCAACCAUAGACAGAAAAGAUUUAAGCAUAGGAAAAGCAUUGCUUUUUGUACUUAAUAAAAAGGUUCAUGUUCCUCUGCUAUAGUCAUCUACUAUAGUAAGGAAAUAUAUGAAUCCAUUGUAAGUAUUUGACUUAUAAGGCUCCCAUGUGUCUACAUGUAUAAGUUCAAAAAUAUGCUUGGAUUUUAUGCUACUGACAGGAAAAAGAUUCUUCGUUUGCUUAGCCUCAUGACAAAUAUCACAGAUAAAUUUAGGAUUUAAAUUACAAUGAAGGAAAUCUAAAUGCUUCAUUGCUGAAAAUGAGAGGUGUCCCAAUCUUACAUGCCAAAGUUUAACAUCAAGAGUAGCAAUAACUUGAACUGGACUAGAAAAGGAAACAGACUCUGAAAUGGAAUUUCUUCCUUUUGGAAUUGAAAGUACAUUACUACUGAAUAUCCCCUUAGACUCAACACUACUUGGUUCCAAUAAGUAGAGUCCCUCUCUAACUUCCCCAAAAACUUGUGGACUCUUCAUUAAAAGGCCCUGCAAUACACACCCAAUAGAUGUGAAUAGGAUAUCAUACUUGAACUGACACAAAACCUAUUAACUCAUAAUAAGUUAUAUUUGAAUUAUGAAAAAAGUAACACAUUGUUCAAGAUAUGACCUGGCAGAAUAGAAAUACUCCCUAUAUGAGUAACAAUCACCUUGAAAGAGUUAGGUAAACUGAUAUUCAAAGGUACAUGAAGUGGUGUUAGAAAUAGAAAACAAUUAGGUUCAAAACACAUAUGCUCUGAGGCACCUGAAUCAAUGAUCCAGGUGUCUGAUUUUAGACUAGUAAACAUUGAACCUGAGUAUUUUAAAAUAGUACCAGCAACUGCAUUAACAUUGAUUCCUGUAUUUUCUGCAUGUGCUAACUUUGCCUGCUUAUACAUGUGCAUCAUUUCUACAAUUUAUUCCUUGCUGAGUUGCUGUCUAAAAUUACUGUUGUUGAGCUUAGUGCUUUGUCCUGCUGAAUUCUCAGGUUCCUCAUGUGUUAGGACUGCAUUUCCUUUAAUUUGAUUCUGAUAACCUUUCUGAUUGGUGAACUCAAAAUCUUCUGAAAAUCCAAUAAUUUUGUAGCAGUCCUCUUGUGUAUAUCCUAUUUUUUCACAAUAAGUACAAGAUACAUUUGGAUUGUACUUCCUUUUUCCUUUAAACCUUUGUUGAGGUUUAACAAAUUUUUGCCCUGAGUUGUUAUAUUUGGGUGCUAUGGUUGCUCCUUUUUGUGUUUGGUUUCUAAGUUUCGUAUAAUUCUUCCCUUGUCUUGUGAUCAUAAAAGCUUUAAAUCAGCUAAAAGCUGUGCAUUAUGCUGCUUGGCCUCUCCAACUGCCAUGAAUGAUACUGAUUCAGAAUUAAAAUGUGCAUUUGCAUAAACUUCUAUUUGAUUUUCAUCUUGCAAGAGAUGUGAAUAAGUAGAAUAAGCAAUAUCAAUGCUAGGCAAAUGGUUCAUCAUUAGGAUAUUUCCUCUUGCUUGUGCAUAGAUUUCAUUUAAUCCCAUUAGGAAUUGGAUCAAUCUCUGAUCCUCAAGAGACUUAGUCAACUUUUCCUUUCCUUCAUAAACACAAAUACAUGAACAACAUAUGAUAACAUUUAAUGCAUCUAAUUCAUCCCACAGUCGUUUGAGCUUAGUGAAGUAUCCUGCAAUGUCACUGUUUCCCUGUACUAAACCUAAUAACUCCUUCUGCAGAUGAUAAAGUUUGGCUCCAUUUGAUCUCCCAAAUCUCUUCUCCAGGCUGUCCCAAAGCUCUUUUGCAGUUUUGGAGUAUAUCACAAUGUCUACAAUAUCCUUUAAGAGAGCAUUUAGGAUCCAAGGGAUGACCAUGUCAUUCACGCAACUCCAUUGUUCAUGAUCUAGAGAUUGACAUGCUCCAUUGAUGAAACCAAGUUUCUUCUUGGCUGAAAAAGACAGGAGAAUAGAUCUCCUCCACCCUCGGUAUCCUCUUCCAUCAAACACAGUGUUGACUAGAGUCAUUCGUGGUGAAUUAGAGUUGUUGAGAUGAUAAGGGUGAUUGAUAUCAUAGUUGACUGGUUUUGCAGCAUUUCUCGUAUCACCAGUAGAUGUGAUAGGUUGUUUCAGGCAUUUUAAGUUACUGAUUAUGAUGAUAAAUCUGAUGUAAAUGGAUUUGAUGGUUCGACUGUUGGAUCGAGCUUAUUGCUCUGAUACCAUGUACGAAAUUGAAGAAGAAAUCUAAUUGAAAAUUUUUCUGUGUGUCUUAUUCAUUGCUUUGUAUUAUAUUCUUUGUAUUAAUUGGAAAUUUU
This 6427-nucleotide long non-coding RNA is filed under the name Nicotiana tabacum (common tobacco). RNAcentral describes it as "long non-coding RNA (NTAB_LNC004757)". The record is from RNAcentral. Lineage: Eukaryota; Viridiplantae; Streptophyta; Magnoliopsida; Solanales; Solanaceae.